UACAGUUCCUGAAAGUAGGUUCGCUGUUGGUUAUGUAUUGUGAACUAUUUGUUUCCAGUUUUCCUAAUAGUGAAUUUAGCCUUGGUAUCUCCUUUUGAUGUGUUGACUAACACAUUCACUCCGUGGGUUAGCUAGCAGAGCCUCUUUUCCUUCUACAUGAUAGUGUUGAUUUCUCUGAACAGUGAACAAUGGUUGGACAUAGAUUAGUCAUAACAAGCAGAAGUAUGGCUGCAAUUGUCCAUGAAGCACUCCAGCUCCUGUCACCUUGUUGAAGUGCCUGCACAAGAUCUGGACAUGCUCUCAUAUUGCCCCAGGUUAUACUGAUGGGUCAUCGUGGAGAUUAUGACUAGGCUGCUGAUGGGCAACUUCAUCGUGAACAAAGACUCUGGGACGGGGAAAUUUAGGGGACUGCUCUAGGUGUUGAUUCUGCAAGACAGCAAGCCACCUUAGUGCCAGUCACUUGCUAUGUAUUGCGAACUGUGCGGUUAAGAAAAUGUAUGGCUCCGACAGGCGACAGUUCCCUUGGGAAUUAGUAUUCUGCAGACUGCAUGUAUUGCUCCUCUAGGUUAAGAAAUUUGUGCUACUACUCUGUUGCCAAUGGAGGCAUAGAUUUAUCCUAGCUCGUUACUGUCAUCGGCA
Long non-coding RNA from Lolium rigidum, 639 nucleotides. RefSeq lists it as uncharacterized. The transcript is spliced from 2 exons. NCBI's taxonomy places the organism in Eukaryota, Viridiplantae, Streptophyta, Magnoliopsida, Poales, Poaceae. The record is from RefSeq and is a predicted model, not a curated record.